RNAcentral lists this ribosomal RNA (1694 nucleotides) under bioreactor sludge metagenome. RNAcentral describes it as "bacterial LSU rRNA". It matches the Rfam family "Bacterial large subunit ribosomal RNA", at positions 847 to 2539 of the family's 2925-position model. The record is from RNAcentral.
AGCUGGUUCUCUCCGAAAUAGCUUUAGGGCUAGCCUCAAGUGAUGAUUAUUGGAGGUAGAGCACUGUUUGGACGAGGGGCCCCUCUCGGGUUACCGAAUUCAGACAAACUCCGAAUGCCAAAUAAUUUAACUUGGGAGUCAGACUAUGGGUGAUAAGGUCCGUAGUCGAAAGGGAAACAGCCCAGACCACCAGCUAAGGUCCCAAAAUAUAUGUUAAGUGGAAAAGGAUGUGGCGUUGCCCAGACAACUAGGAUGUUGGCUUAGAAGCAGCCAUCAUUUAAAGAGUGCGUAAUAGCUCACUAGUCGAGUGACACUGCGCCGAAAAUGUACCGGGGCUAAACAUAUUACCGAAGCUGUGGAUUAUCCGUAAGGAUAAUGGUAGGAGAGCGUUCUAAACGUGUCGAAGCAUGAUCGUAAGGACAUGUGGAAUGUUUAGAAGUGAGAAUGCCGGUGUGAGUAGCGAAAGAUGGGUGAGAAUCCCAUCCACCGAUUGACUAAGGUUUCCAGAGGAAGGCUCGUCCGCUCUGGGUUAGUCGGGACCUAAGCCGAGGCCGAUAGGCGUAGGCGAUGGAUAACAGGUAGAUAUUCCUGUACCACCUAUGAUUGUUUGAACGAUGGGGGGACGCAGUAGGAUAGGCGAAGCGUGCUGUUGGAGUGCACGUCCAAGCAAUAAGACUGAGUGUUAGGCAAAUCCGGCACUCGUAAGGUUGAGUUGUGAUGGGGAGUUGGAUCAUGUAUCCGACGAGUCGUUGAUUUCACACUGCCAAGAAAAGCCUCUAGUUAGAAAAUAGGUGCCCGUACCGCAAACCGACACAGGUAGUCAAGAUGAGAAUUCUAAGGUGAGCGAGCGAACUCUCGUUAAGGAACUCGGCAAAAUGACCCCGUAACUUCGGGAGAAGGGGUGCUUUUUAGGGUGCAAGCCUUGAAGAGCCGCAGUGAAUAGGCCCAAGCGACUGUUUAUCAAAAACACAGGUCUCUGCUAAACCGUAAGGUGAUGUAUAGGGGCUGACGCCUGCCCGGUGCUGGAAGGUUAAGAGGAGUGGUUAGCUUCUGCGAAGCUACGAAUCGAAGCCCCAGUAAACGGCGGCCGUAACUAUAACGGUCCUAAGGUAGCGAAAUUCCUUGUCGGGUAAGUUCCGACCCGCACGAAAGGCGUAACGAUUUGGGCACUGUCUCAACGAGAGACUCGGUGAAAUCAUAGUACCUGUGAAGAUGCAGGUUACCCGCGACAGGACGGAAAGACCCCGUGGAGCUUUACUGUAGCCUGAUAUUGAAAUUUGGCACAGCUUGUACAGGAUAGGUAGGAGCCUUUGAAACGUGAGCGCUAGCUUACGUGGAGGCGCUGGUGGGAUACUACCCUGGCUGUGUUGACUUUCUAACCCGCACCAUUUGAUCAUGGUGGGAGACAGUGUCAGGCGGGCAGUUUGACUGGGGCGGUCGCCUCCUAAAGAGUAACGGAGGCGCUCAAAGGUUCCCUCAGAAUGGUUGGAAAUCAUUCGCAGAGUGUAAAGGCACAAGGGAGCUUGACUGCGAGACCUACAAGUCGAGCAGGGUCGAAAGACGGACUUAGUGAUCCGGUGGUUCCGCAUGGAAGGGCCAUCGCUCAACGGAUAAAAGGUACUCCGGGGAUAACAGGCUUAUCUCCCCCAAGAGUUCACAUCGACGGGGAGGUUUGGCACCUCGAUGUCGGCUCA